Molecule: long non-coding RNA, 494 nt
Filed under: Sus scrofa (pig)
Lineage: Eukaryota; Metazoa; Chordata; Mammalia; Artiodactyla; Suidae
Description: lncRNA (ENSSSCG00005033971.1)
Source: RNAcentral
UUUCAAGUACUGAAUUUCACAAUAACUGUAGGUAGGUGAAGUCAUCUCAUGUACUUAAAUUCAUCUUGAAGUUAAAAAUAAUAUACAAGAUUAUGUUUUUCAUAAUUUGCAAUAAUUAGAUCUCUUCAUAUUAAUAUUAUCAUCUGACACAAUUCCCAUCUAUUCAAAGGAGAAAAGGUUGAAGCCAGUGACUUUAAAAAUGUGCUGGGGAAAAUGGGAAUCAAUCUCACUGAAAAGGAACACUUGAUGCUGUCAAAAACUCUGCCAAUCUCUAGAGAUGGAAAGGUGUAUAAGAAGAGAUUACUAGAUAGUGUGAAGUCUCUCAAAGGGAAAAAAAUCAGUGUCAAUAACCUGGACACCCUUAUGGAAGAAAUGGAAAUCCAGCUUGAGAAAGAAGACCGUGUGGACUUACUGACCCAUCUGCCAAUUGAUGGUAAGUAUGUCAGGUACCACUAUGUGUAGGGGGAAUCUUGGGGUUUCUAUAUAUAAGGGUU